This 546-nucleotide ribosomal RNA is filed under the name uncultured bacterium. RNAcentral describes it as "bacterial SSU rRNA". It matches the Rfam family "Bacterial small subunit ribosomal RNA", at positions 15 to 559 of the family's 1533-position model. The record is from RNAcentral.
GAUCCUGGCUCAGAACGAACGCUGGCGGCGUGCCUAACACAUGCAAGUCGAGCGGGAUGGGGGUAGGCGAUGAGUCUAUCAUCAGUUUAGCGGCGGACGGUUGAGUAACGCGUGGAUAACCUACCCGUGAGACCGGGAUAACCCUGGGAAACUGGGGCUAAUACCGGAUAUACUCCUGCUGGGGCAUCCUGGUGGGAGGAAAGGUGCCGUUUUAUGUGCCGCUUGCGGAUGGUCCCGCGUCCCAUUAUCUAGAUGGUGGGGAAACCGCCUACCAUGUCAACCAUGGGUAUCCGAUCUGAGAGGCUGGCCGGCCACUCUGGGACUGACACACGCCCCACACUCCUACGGGAGGCAGCAGUGGGAAAUAUUGGGCAGUGCGCGAAAGCCUGACCCAGCCACGCCGCGUGGGAGAAGAACGUCUUCGGGUUGUAAACCUCUCUUGCAGGAAAAAACACACGACGGUACCCUGCGAAUAGGCCACGACUAACUCUGUGCCAGCAGCCGCGGUUAGAUCGAUGUGGCAAGCGUUGCUCGUAUUCACUGGGC